AGUGAACGCUGGCGGUAGGCCUAACACAUGCAAGUCGAACGGCAGCACAGUAAGAGCUUGCUCUUACGGGUGGCGAGUGGCGGACGGGUGAGGAAUACAUCGGAAUCUACUUUUUCGUGGGGGAUAACGUAGGGAAACUUACGCUAAUACCGCAUACGACCUACGGGUGAAAGCAGGGGAUCUUCGGACCUUGCGCGAUUGAAUGAGCCGAUGUCGGAUUAGCUAGUUGGCGGGGUAAGGCCCACCGAGGCGACGAUCCGUAGCUGGUCUGAGAGGAUGAUCAGCCACACUGGAACUGAGACACGGUCCAGACUCCUACGGGAGGCAGCAGUGGGGAAUAUUGGACAAUGGGCGCAAGCCUGAUCCAGCCAUACCGCGUGGGUGAAGAAGGCCUUCGGGUUGUAAAGCCCUUUUGUUGGGAAAGAAAAGCAGCAGGUUAAUACCCCGCUGUUCUGACGGUACCCAAAGAAUAAGCACCGGCUAACUUCGUG
This 491-nucleotide ribosomal RNA is filed under the name uncultured bacterium. RNAcentral's name for it is "partial 16S ribosomal RNA". It matches the Rfam family "Bacterial small subunit ribosomal RNA", at positions 29 to 507 of the family's 1533-position model. The record is from RNAcentral.